UAUCCUGUCAAUGUGUCCAGAUAAAAUGGCGUGGACAGUCCUUAGACUUCCAUACACUUUUUUUUGGGUCAGUAGUACAACGGCAAUGUCUAAAACUAAUUGCUAUAUGUAUGUGACUUCCAAUUAUUAUGUCUGAUAAAGGGUUUCCUACGAAAACUUGGAAGUGUAUGUUGAUAUGCAAAGCUAACUGGUUGUAGAAUGCUACUUAAAUGGAAAGAAUUCACUGUUAAAACAAGGGACAAUAGGAAAGCAACAAAAACUAUGAUCCUCACCAGCGUGACCGCAUUUAUAGGGUGGCCAUCUUGGGUUCAAGCUUAUACUACUAUAAAUGGUUUGAUCAUAUUUUAAUUGACAAUAAUUAUGUAUUAAAGAUCUUGAUCUCGAAUGCAUUGAUAGAAAUCAAGAUUUCUAAUACAUAAUUACUGUUAGGUAAAAUGAGAUCAACUCAUUUUUUAGGCAUCUAACAAAUAGGGACUCACUAGAUUCCUAGCAGUUAUCUAUAACCAUGGGGAUGAUGGAAUCCAUGAUGCAGACCUAGUUGUCUUGGAGGGAACGGUGUAUAACAAUGUUUUUUUGCUUUCCUAUUGGACAGGCGAAUCAUCUUCCUCAGUAACAUUUAUACACAUCAUAUCUUUUAUUUAGCUAGUUCCCUUUCUAUUGAGCCUUGUCAAAAAUUGAGAUCACGUUCAUGCCAGCUUCCAUAGAUAAAAUCUGAUUUUUAUAUUUUGCUUCUUGCUUAUGCCAGGCCAAGAGUGAAGAGCUAGUAGCCAAGGUGCAUAUUUUGAGUGAAGAGAAUCAGGCCCUAAAGAAUGAGAUAUAACGGCUUUCUGGAGAAUGUGAGAAACUAACGUUUGAAAAUGUGACUAUAAUGGUUUUUGCCCACAAAAGAUAACUUGAGGAGAAGGGAAGUUGACAGAGAAGUGCAAGCUAUUAUGAGAAGAGGGAGAUGACUAUGAAAAUGGGAGAAGCUCAUAUUGUUGAUGGAAUCUAAUUUCAAAGAAUCCCAAAAUCAAGGGAACUCCAAGAGCAUGACUAUUGAAGAUGUGAUAGAUGAGUGCAGACUACUUGGCAGGGCACGGGACCACGCCACCUU
Long non-coding RNA from Magnolia sinica, 1093 nucleotides. RefSeq lists it as uncharacterized. Lineage: Eukaryota; Viridiplantae; Streptophyta; Magnoliopsida; Magnoliales; Magnoliaceae. The transcript is spliced from 2 exons. The record is from RefSeq and is a predicted model, not a curated record.